Molecule: ribosomal RNA, 595 nt
Filed under: Marinobacter sp.
Lineage: Bacteria; Pseudomonadati; Pseudomonadota; Gammaproteobacteria; Pseudomonadales; Marinobacteraceae
Description: bacterial SSU rRNA
Rfam family: Bacterial small subunit ribosomal RNA
Source: RNAcentral
CAGCUUACACAUGCAAGUCGAGCGGUAACAGGGGGUGCUUGCACCCCGCUGACGAGCGGCGGACGGGUGAGUAAUGCAUAGGAAUCUGCCCAGUAGUGGGGGAUAGCCCGGGGAAACCCGGAUUAAUACCGCAUACGCCCUUUGGGGGAAAGCAGGGGAUCUUCGGACCUUGCGCUAUUGGAUGAGCCUAUGUCGGAUUAGCUAGUUGGUGGGGUAAAGGCCUACCAAGGCGACGAUCCGUAGCUGGUCUGAGAGGAUGAUCAGCCACAUCGGGACUGAGACACGGCCCGAACUCCUACGGGAGGCAGCAGUGGGGAAUAUUGGACAAUGGGGGCAACCCUGAUCCAGCCAUGCCGCGUGUGUGAAGAAGGCUUUCGGGUUGUAAAGCACUUUCAGUGAGGAGGAAAACCUUCUGGUUAAUACCCAUGAGGCUUGACGUUACUCACAGAAGAAGCACCGGCUAACUCCGUGCCAGCAGCCGCGGUAAUACGGAGGGUGCAAGCGUUAAUCGGAAUUACUGGGCGUAAAGCGCGCGUAGGUGGUUUGAUAAGCGAGAUGUGAAAGCCCCGGGCUUAACCUGGGAACGGCAUUUCGA